This 219-nucleotide ribosomal RNA is filed under the name Bacillus pumilus. RNAcentral's name for it is "partial 16S ribosomal RNA". It matches the Rfam family "Bacterial small subunit ribosomal RNA", at positions 1265 to 1479 of the family's 1533-position model. The record is from RNAcentral. Lineage: Bacteria; Bacillati; Bacillota; Bacilli; Caryophanales; Bacillaceae.
GCCCAAUUCCCAUUAAAAAUCUGUUCUCAGUUCGGAUCGCAGUCUGCAACUCGACUGCGUGAAGCUGGAAUCGCUAGUAAUCGCGGAUCAGCAUGCCGCGGUGAAUACGUUCCCGGGCCUUGUACACACCGCCCGUCACACCACGAGAGUUUGCAACACCCGAAGUCGGUGAGGUAACCUUUAUGGAGCCAGCCGCCGAAGGUGGGGCAGAUGAUUGGG